Panicum virgatum (switchgrass) is the source of this 1645-nucleotide long non-coding RNA. RefSeq lists it as uncharacterized. The record is from RefSeq and is a predicted model, not a curated record. Lineage: Eukaryota; Viridiplantae; Streptophyta; Magnoliopsida; Poales; Poaceae. The transcript has 2 exons.
AUUCGAGCGGGACUCCGUGAGCAAUGAGAGUGGCCACGUCAGCAAAAAUUCUACCGUCCCUCUAAUUUCUAACCGAGGGUGAAGAUCGGUUCUCACCCUGGCAAUUCUAGCCUAUGCGCGGCGGCAGCCUCCUCCCUCCCCGUCCCGAUGGAGCCCAUGGAAGGGCGGCGGAAGGCAUCGUGCGGCGGAGGGCAUGGCGCGGCGGCGGCCCGCCGGCUGCUCCGUCGGCGGCAUGCGAGCGCCGAGCGGCCGCCGUGCAUGACCAGCGGCGCGGCGCGGAGCAGGCCCGAAGGAGCAAGGGCACGCGCGCGACGGAGCAAGGAGCAGACGGAUCCUGGCCGCCGCCACCAGCCAGAUCUGCGCCGCCCCAAUGCUCUGCACGUGGAUCCGCUCGAGGCGAGCCCCUGGCGCGUGCCGGAUAAGGGGUACGGCGGUCCUGCGCCGCCGGCCGGCUGCCAGGGCUUGCGGCCCUUGGCCUUACCCAUCCCGUCACAGUUCUUCGCAGCCAUGUGCCUCUACUUCAUUCUGUCCUUUGAUAUUUGAUUAGCUUUGAUGUUUCAACGCAAAUGCGAAGGGGGUACUUCUUUUAUUCUUACCUAAACAGUGUUUCAAAAACAUACCACCAUUAGCCGUAUUGAUGCAGCACCAGAAGACGAAAUUUGUUAGGUGACCAGAUCAGUUGAAGCUUCCCUUUCCAUCCAGCAGCAAUCUCACGAUUACACACUGAAUUAUUGUUAUUCUAAGCUCAAUAUACUGUUUUCUGUAAAUUUCAUGGGCAUAAUCAGAAUGCAUUUCAUCAGACAAUUUGAACUACUAGCCAAACCUGAAGCAAACAAACUAAUUCAUGUACUACUCCGAGAACUACUUCAGUAUUAUGCCAUCUAAGUUACUUUAUAUUGCCACCUUUCUGAUAUGUAGUGCAAAUUUAAUUUAUAGGCACUGCUAUUUCCUUCGCCUUGCUAUUUUCAAAACAGCAAAGAGCCUAUGGAGCCAUACCAUGUAUUCAGGGCUUUUCUUAUAGCAACAUGCGCUUCAACGAUGUGGAGAAGGUUAUGUUUUAUCGUCAUCAAAAACAAAAAACUUUGUAUCACUCAAGGCACACUUAUAUAGACGAUUGUCUUCAUUGUCUGCUUACCUGAGUCAAAGGCAAACAUGAAAGUCACUUUCAUGAGAACUAUGAAGUUACAAUUUCUUCCUCCUUUCCUAUUGACGGUUGCACAAAUGAUUGAUAUUGGUAGUCUUGCAAUCAAGUACUUACUCAUUCGGGUGUGCCUAAUGAUCCAAAAUUUCCUCUCCCAACUCUGAGUUGCAAAAUCAUUCACAAGGAUGAGGAAAAUGGUUGUCCUUGAAGAUGUUGGGGAUGUCCGCCACCGGCCGUUUGCUGUUGGAUUCAGUUGUUCCUAUCAAUGUUAAUACUCUUUGAUGCAAAUUAUUUGUAUCGUGUUAUCUCCUGGAAGAUCACUACACCAGUGAGAAACUUGAUGUUAAUGUUUGCAUGUGCCGAACAAUUAAUGUUCUUAGGACUCCAGUAUUAUUUUAGCUUAAGGACAUCCUAUUUCACCGUGUUGUAAACUAUGCUAAGGAACUACCACUUAGCUAAAUAUUUGACGCUAAUGUCGCUCUUCUUUGCAACCGAAUUUCAUAA